Molecule: ribosomal RNA, 326 nt
Filed under: Phrynopus sp. KU291634
Lineage: Eukaryota; Metazoa; Chordata; Amphibia; Anura; Strabomantidae
Description: partial 12S ribosomal RNA
Rfam family: Bacterial small subunit ribosomal RNA
Source: RNAcentral
GCCAGGGCACUACGAGCUAAGCUUAAAACCCAAAGGACUUGACGGUACCCCACAUCCCCCUAGAGGAGCCUGUCCCAUAAUCGAUACCCCCCGCUAAACCUCACCAUUCUUAGCCUUUCAGCCUGUAUACUUCCGUCGUCAGCUAACCACAUGAGUGAAAUUCAGUUAGCCUAAUGAUCUUACAUCAAAACUUCAGGUCAAUGUGCAGCAAAUAGAAUGGAAACAGAUGGGCUACACUUUCUAACAUAGAAAAUAACGAAAGACACCGUGAAAUCUGGGUCAAAAGGUGGAUUUAGAAGUAAAAAGAAAUUAGAGUAUUCUUUUUA